This 253-nucleotide ribosomal RNA is filed under the name uncultured bacterium. RNAcentral's name for it is "partial 16S ribosomal RNA". It matches the Rfam family "Bacterial small subunit ribosomal RNA", at positions 524 to 776 of the family's 1533-position model. The record is from RNAcentral.
UACAGAGGGUGCGAGCGUUGUCCGGAAUCACUGGGCGUAAAGGGCGCGUAGGUGGCCUGGUAAGUAGGGGGUGAAAUCUCGAGGCUCAACUUCGAGGCUGCCUCCUAAACUGUCAGGCUUGAGCAGAGUAGAGGCAGGUGGAAUUCCCGGUGUAGCGGUGGAAUGCGUAGAGAUCGGGAUGAACACCAGAGGCGAAAGCGGCGACCUGGACAGGUACUGACACUCAACUACGAAAGCGUGGGGAGCAAACAGG